Molecule: non-coding RNA, 3141 nt
Organism: Benincasa hispida (wax gourd)
Lineage: Eukaryota; Viridiplantae; Streptophyta; Magnoliopsida; Cucurbitales; Cucurbitaceae
Source: RefSeq, a predicted model, not a curated record
UUUCCGAUUGUUUCGUGGGACCAAAAGUUUCUCCGCUACACAAUUUCAGUUUCUUUCCACAUUUCAUCGAUGGAAUUCACUCAUCGCGUUUCAAGUUCAUCUUUACUUUUUUCAUGGUUCCAUGUUGACUGUACCGUAUUUUAGCGACUGCUUUCUCAACCAUCCUCUGUUUGCUUUGACUGAAAAUGGUUGGGAAAAUUGCCCUCCCACUUCACCAUGAAAGCUUUGCUCACCAUUAAUAUGCUCAUCUUCUCUGUUUUCAUCAAUUAAUCAACAAGUUAUUACUACAGCCUUCCCUUUUCAGAAAGCCCGUCUUUAUUAUCCCGGAUGGAUCCAACCUGGUCUUUCAAUCAAUGCAGCAUCUUUUUUUUUCCUGCUUUUUCUUGUGGGGCUGUGAAAAUUCUGUUCGAACAUAUUCAUUCAGCUAUUAGGGAUAACACCCACAUGGAUAUUGGAAUUCUCUCUUGGGCUGCUGUAAACUGUUAAGCACUAUUAAGAAAUGGAGAGUCACGAGAGUAGUAGUGUAGCACAGGGUAUGGUGAUGCAAAACUAUAAUGUGUUGGUGACUUGAAGAUGUAAUCAGUUAAAACUCAGGUUCCCAUGAGAUUGACAAAAGGUAUCUAAUUUGAAAGCUAUGUUUUUAUUUCUUUCGCAACAUUCUGUUGAGAGGUCAUUUUGGGUUUAACAUUCUGUUGAGAGGUCAUUUUGGGUUUGUCAUAUAUAGCAGUUGAGAACAAUGGGGGUGAUUAAGGACGUUACGUAUCUUCCAUUCAUCAGGUUCGUGAGAAGAUGAGAGUGGCUUCAAUGAUUGAGUAACAAUGGUCGAAAUUUGAGAACUUAUGUUGGUCAAUAUUUUGGUAUGACUUGAUUUUUAAUCUGGGAUGUGUACUUUAAAUUUUGAUAAUUAUAUGCAAGUUGCGGGAACAGAUCAUGGCUUUAGAGGUAGUCAGUGUUUUAAAAAUCCCACUGAGGCGCCUGGCUAGUCAGGGCUUCGGCAUCUCGCUUCAAAGAAGUGAGGCUCUCUUAAUGAAGCAUGCGUGAGGUGCACGCCUUAGUGCCUCAAGUUUGAUUUACUACUUUAUUUUUUAAUAUUUUCUUAAACUUUUUAUCAUCUUAUUGUUCAUCAUACUAUAUUUUUUACCUUUUUUUAUUGUGUGCUGCAUAAUAUUUUCCUGCACUUAAGUUCCUGAGGUUUAUUGCUCUUUAGUGCGCCUCAAACUAUAAUACGAGAGGUUUUCAAUACUAGGAAUUUUUUUGACCCCAUUUGAUAGCUAUUUGGUCUUUGAAAAUUAAGCUUAUAAACAAUUACUUCCACUCUUAAAUUUCUAUGUUUUAUUUUCCACUUCCUACUAAUGUUUUCAAAAACCAAGUCAAGUUGAAAACUAAAAAAGUUUCAAAAUUUUGUUUUUAUGUUUUAAAUUGGACUACAAAUUCAAUUUUUUUAAUGAAUAUAUAUAUAAGGGUGAAAAUCAUAAUUGGACAAUUUGGGAGAAAACAAGCAUAAAUUUAAAAAAUAAAAAACUAAAAACAAAAUUGUUAUCAAAUGCGACCUUUGUUGAUGGGUUUUUUUAAGAUCAUAUGUACGAUGGGGAAAGUGCUUUUGGAUGGCUUAUGGGUUUACGACCUUACUUAAAUAGGAUCUAUUCUAUAUGUUGUACAAUUGUGUCCUUAAGUUCUAAGGAUGGCUCGUGGGCUUCAAAUAUGAUUUGUUUUCUAGGUUACUAAGUAUUGAAAGAGACACACAAUUUUGUCCUUUAAAUCAAGCCAAGUAAUUUCUAAUUUUCCCCCUUCUGAAGGAUUUAUGAGUUGUUUCAUCCCCUUGUUUUAAUGCACUCAUGCUAUUUUGUUUCUUUAAUUGAAACUAAAUAACUUCCCACUUUUUUGAAACAUUGCUUCCUCUCUAUCUUAUUAUCUCUCCUCGUUUUAAAUAACUGAUGCUUCUUGAAAAACCCAAAAAAAAAAAAAAACAAAAACAAAAACAAAAGGAAAUGAUAAGUGGCAGAUAUAGAUUGAUUGAUUUGAUCCCGUCACUAAAUUUGACAGCUCAUUCUUGUUUUCUGUUUCAUUUGAAGCCACUUUGAACUCUGGUCUUUUUUUGGUCACCUUUAAGGACUCCGAAAAAUGUAGAGAAGAGUUACUGAUUUUAGCUCUAUUUUUUAUUUAUCCUUCUAAAUUUACAGGGAUAUGGCACACAAAGAACUUAAAAGACAAACCAGUUCAUAGAAUCCUAGAAAGAAAAAAGUAAAUGGCACAUGAACUAUGAAAUGGCACAUGUGCAAGUUCAGGUACUUAGGGUGCACGUGUAAUUUGGCUUGGCCACUCAUUGCAAGGAAAUAACAGUGAAGUGUGUGUUAUUAUAUUAUUGUCUUUGGUAAACUUGCAUAGUAACGUAAUAUUGCAGUUUAUGUUCUACUUACUACUUGGAAACUAGAAGUUAAUGUGGUUGUCAAAAUUUAUUAGUUUCAAAUUAAAUCUCAUCCUUGCCUGAGUAUUUAUAUAAUCCAUAUUUUUUUUAUUUUCGUUUUAAAGUUAUUGAUAUUUUGGUGGGGAUAAAGAGCCAAGUCAGUCAAUUGGUCGUAUUUGAUUAUAUUUUUUAAAUUUAUUUCCUUUUGACUUUGAGAGCCCAACCAUCCUUUUCAGAACACCUGCCUAAUGGGACUUUUUUUUCAGACGAAAAUUUUCAAGGCCUGAAGGACCUUCAUCUGGCAUUACUGGUCAAGCUGGUGACGUGCAAAUUGGUUUGUUGGAUUAAAUGUGAAGUUCGGAUGAAUUCUCAGUGCCAUUAACAUGUGGGUUGAGAUAUGUGCGUCUUUAUUUCUUAGUUUAUUGUUUUUAUUCACAAAUCUGACCUGCCAGCUGCCAGCCUUUUCAAUUUGCAACUUUUCCAUCAUCUUCUUGAGGAACAUAGCGAGUCAAAGUGAUGGUGAAUGGAGGUUCAAUUUUGGCAUAUAGACUCCCCUUACUUCCGUUGUUCCAUAUUCUCCUUAUCCGGACCUGAAAUUCAUGUUUUAAGUCAUAGUUCUAGUCUCAUGUAAACAAUACACCAAUUCUUUUGUUUUAGUUUUCGAUAUCUUGAUUGGCAUGUAUAAAACUAUAGUCCCAGUUUGUUGCAUAUAUUACAGGAUUGGAAUUCUUCUUGUA